Meleagris gallopavo (turkey) is the source of this 9266-nucleotide non-coding RNA. The record is from RefSeq and is a predicted model, not a curated record. NCBI's taxonomy places the organism in Eukaryota, Metazoa, Chordata, Aves, Galliformes, Phasianidae.
AACUAUUAAGCCUCCUGGUGAUGUUGAAAUUUAUUGUAACCAAAGAUCAGUUCUUCAUUUUGGGUGUCAGUUCAGAAUCUUUUUCUUUUUUCAGUCAGCAGUGGGUAGACUAGAGAAUUGGUUUUCUCAACCACGCCUGUUUGCUGACAAAGAACUCUAUGUUUAAGAACAUCUGUAUUGAACAUGGCUGUCUUUCCUCAGAUAAAGCUUUUUCUUGGAGGACCAAAAAAAAGCAAACACAACCUUACAUACAAUGCACCCUGCGUUAUUCUCUCUCGUUGGUAUUUUGUUUGUUCUUAUCACAUAAGGAGGAAGGAUCCAGUUCCUGGAAUACUUCAUUGUGCCAUGAGCUUCUAGAACAGCCAUUGACCUGGAUUGCUCUCCAGCCUCCUGACGGACCUGGCAACUCUUCACUGCAUGCAUGUAGCUAGGACAGGUGCAGUCCGUGAUACAGGUCUACAUUCAUCGCUGCAGCAAAGCUGCUGCUGUGAUAAUCAUCCCUGGAUCCUGGAACACAGAAUGACAGGGGAGCCUUCUUUCAGCUAGACGGAAAACAAAAAUCAAAGCCAAUUCCUGCAUUUUUAAUCAAGCCAGGAUACAAUGAGGAUAAACGGCUAAAACCAGGCUCCUGCAGGCAAAUAAGUGAUGAAUUAGCUUACUUCAAACUCUCUGAAGAUCAGCACUAGCAUAGAUUCUUUGAAAGAUCUGAAGCAGCAAAUAGCAGAUGAUGCAAGGACUCUCCCAGGAAAACCUCAGCUUCAUCUCUGUGACAGCAGUGCUCAACCAAGGCUAAGAGCUGCUUCAUUCGGUGUUACGUGUCCAACGUGGGAGUCCUUUUAGUGUGAAGCACACAGCAAGCAAGAAGCAGGGAGUGCAGGAACCAGGGGACGUGAGUGCUCUCGCAAUGGCCCUCCAGAGCUCAGCCCAGCAAUUGGCCAGGUUCCUGCAGGUGAGGGGUGACCAGCACAGCACAGGACCCUGCCCAAACAGCUAAGCAACCUGAUUGCACGACACGUGCCUGACUGCACCAUGAUUGCAUCUCUGCGUAAACGAGCACCUUCAGUGCUACAGCCCGUUUGCUCCUCCUCAGCUGAACCUGCAGGUCUGCUCAUGACGGCCACUGGCUGAGCACUGGGACUGCCCUGCCCCUGGGACUGCCUGCCAGCACUGAGAAAAGGCUUCUGGGGUGAGAGGCAACAAGUGCUCCCUGAUGGCAACAUGUUUUAGAGGAUGUUUGCACCGAAAACAAAACGAAAGCUGUUUGAUCCUUCCAGCACGAGGGUGGCUAAUUUAGCAUGGAUUUGGUGAGCAGCUUUGGGCACUCUGCAUCACAGCGGAUGACACGGACUGCUUCCUUUGUAGCCGUUACUGUCUCAUAGCUACAAAGGGAGGAAAGGCAUUUAUUCCAAUCGCUGCAGUAAGACUGGAUUUAUUCCCUAUCUCACCUUCAGGUAAGUACUGGGGUACGUAGUGGGGGUCCUGACCCAGAGCCACGCUGUGAUGUCCCUUUCUGGGCCACUGCUGUCGGCGCAGGCUGGUUCCCUGUCAGGCUGGGAGUGGAGCAGGAGGCAGUGGAAGUGGUUUGAAAGCUGUCACUUCUGCGAGCGCCCGGAGCUGUGAUGCUAAUCAAGAAAAAGGCAGGAGAUGGACUGGGUUCUUUACAUGAGCAGGGCUCCAGGGUUGAAAUUUAUUUUGAGCUUGUGCUUAUUUUUAGAGCGUUUCUUGCUGUUGUUGUCAAACCUAUGCUAAAACAAUUACUGUUGCUGAGGGUCACCAGGAGUUCAGCAGUGCUGAAAACCUCCCAGCACCGCUCCGAGGGCCUGCAUGGCCAGGCAGGGCAGCCCACACAGACACCGUCGCUUAAAGAAACAGCAGCUUCUUGCCUUCCCUCUUCCUAGUUGUGAAUGAAAAGCGUAUUUGAGCCCUUUUAGCUAAUGUCAUCAAGGCGCAUUGCCAAAAUCCAGUUCCAGGUAUCCCAGCACCAGCCCUGCCGUGCCCUUGCGGGACCUGGCUGCUCCGUUCUUGGCCUGGGGGAGGGACAGACAGGUGUCAAACUGGCUGCUGCUUCUUUCCAGUGCAGCCCGGGAGACAGGCUGUCCAAUAAAGCAAGAUAGUGACAAGCUAAAGCCAUGACAAGAACAAAACUCAAGUCUUCCAAGGGAGCCCCUCAAACACGCUCCCCCCAUGCUCAGCUGCGGGCCUCAAACCACUGCGUUUCUGUCUGGCAAGAGUGUGUGCAAAGAGACGGACUGCUGUCUGCACACCACUUUGGUUUAAUUCUCCCAUUUCCUAACUGAUACACAAAAUCGUUUCUUAAGUAACAUCAUUUUUGCAUUUAGAGGAGUUAAGAUACUGAUUUUUCUGGUCAGUCUGUUGGCUGCGGAAUCACAAGUGAUGCAAGGCAGCUGUUCCUGCACUUUUAAAGCGUUAUUGCUGAGAACUUUAUACAUCUAAAGGCAUAAAUAAACCUGCACUAGGAAGAAAGAGUGUGGCAGAAACAGUAGAGAUCCUGGGCUCUCUGUUCAAGGCGAAGACAAGAACUUUCUGUAGAUGUGACAGAGCACCAUGGCUCUCCUCUCCACCAGCAAAGGAUUCAACAAUCCAACAGAGGAAGGAGAACCGUCUGAGGAACGGGAGCCUAUCUCAUCCUGCUGAAACAAAAGAGUGAUGUAUCUUUCUGGAUGCGGAAGAUGCUCAUCAGAAGCGCUGGAACCACUUGGAGCAGAUGACAAGUUUUGAAGGUCACAUGUUGGUGGAUCACAAGUUCGUUCAACCCAGUAGGCGGACACACAGCCAAAGCUGAACUUCUUCAGCAGCUACUCCAAGAAAAGUGAAUGUUUAAUGUGCUGCUCUGUGCCCUGCGUGUUCUGAUUCAUUGGAGAGCAGCAAUCAUGUCGACAGGAGCUGUUCUUCAGUUCCCAUCAGCGACAACUAAAGGCCAAUUCAAGGUUGUGGUGGGGUCAUGAAUCUAACACAGUCACUGAUAGAACAAUUUCCCUUCCACAUGACACCGUCAGUGGGACACAGAGGGAAUAUACAGCCAGGACUGCAGCAGGUAUGUCUUGUUAUUCUCAUCCCUCCUCUCCCCCCUUCCUUUUUUACUUUUAAUUUUUGAUGCUGGGCUCUGCUGUUAAGAAGCCUCUGGGGCAUACACAGUCAGGAAAUAAGAAGAGGGGAAACUUCUCAGCCUUUCAGAAUCUAGCAUCCUCCUGGCCUCUGUGCAGAGCAGCUCAGCAAUAUGAGCUCAGUUUGAGAGCCAGAUCCACCCCAAGACGAUGCGCGCUGUACAGCCAUGCCAGCCUUUUAAAUGAGGAGCUCUGCAAGCUCUGCAAUGACCUCACUUCUGGUACUGUACCUUUUGAAUUAAUAGAAAGGGCAUUUUUAUUUGGAUUGAACCCCACCAGAGUCACUGGCUUUUCACAGCAUGAAGCUUGGACCUGAAUUUUGCCUGACACAUUCUUUUCACACAUUUGUAGUUUAUCCUUCCAAGGGACUUGGCACAAGCCUGGAACAAGCCCCAAGAAAAGAGCCAGCUCCUGCUAUUGUUUCUGCCAUACAUGUCCCAGGGAGAGCAGAUUUUGGACCAGAUGAGUAAUAUUUCAUUCUCAUACCACUAUUAGUCAUGGUGGGUAUACAGCAUCUGACAUGUUAGCGCAAUAUAGCUGAGAACUUUCAAUUAGAACUGCAAAUUCUAAUCUCUAGCAAUGGGGCCCACGUUGAGGAGCAUUUCUAUUGCACGGAUAGAAACAGUGAACACAGUAAGCACCACAUUCUGAAAAAUUACUUCCAGUACCUAAAGUCUUAAGGCUAUGCAGAUUUCUGCCUUCCAUGUUAAAAAAAAAAACAAAACACAAAGAACAGACCUGUAAAAAUGGAAUCAUAGGAUGGGCUAAGGUUUGGUGGAGACUUUAAAGAUCAUUUAGUUCAAACACCCUGCUGUGUAUAGGGUUGCCAUCCACUGGAUCAGUCUGCCCAGGGCCCCAUCCAACCCAUCCACAGUACUCCAGGCAGGGCUUCAUGAGAGCAGAGGGGGACAAUCCCUUCUCUUUUCCUGCUGGCCACUGCCCUUUUGAGGCAGCCCAGGAUAUUGUUGGCCUUUUGAGCUUCAAGAGCAUACCUCUCACUCACCUCCAGCUUUCUGUCCAUCAGACCCCCCAAGACCUUCUCCACUGGGCUGGUCUCAAGGUCUUCUUCUCACAGACUGUACUCAGAUCUAGGAUUGCCUCAACCCAAGUGCAACAACACUCAAGCCUGUCCAGGUCCCUCUGGAUGCCAUCCCUUUCUUCUACUUUAUCUACUGUACCACUCAGCUUAGUGUCAUCAGCAAACUUGCUGAGGGUACGCUCAAUCCAAUGGUUUAUGGUGUUGACAAAGAUGUUGAAGUAUAUUUAUCCCAAGGCUGACUCCUAGGGGACACCACUCGUGACCAGCUCCACCUGGAUAUAGAACCAUUGUCAUCAACCCUCUGGCUACAACCAUCCAACCAAUUCUUUAUCCACUCAGUAGUCCAUCCUUUAAAUCUAUCUCUCUCCAAUUUAGAGAUAAAGAUGUCAAAGGCCUUGUGCAAGUCCAAGUAGAUGACGUCAGUUGUCCUUCCUUUGUCCACUGAUGCUGUCCACCAGCAUCUCUUCCAGGCAGAUAAGAUCCGUGAUCUUCCCAGGAAAAUGUGUCCAUGUGUCCGUGGAGAUCCAGACAACUUUCUCAGCCCCAGAGAUGGCCCCUUCAGGCUGGGACUCCCUGAAAAUCUAUUACAAAUUCUAUCGUUAUAAUUCUAUAAUCUAUUAAAUUCUAUCAUGAUAAUUCUGUAAAUUCUGCCAUCAUAAAAUCUAUUCCAUAAAUCUGUUACAAAUUCUAUGAUUCUGUGAUUCUGUGAAAAGCAAAACCAGGACAGCAAUGGUGGGCCUAUGUCUGUGCAGGGCUAUAAAUGUAGGGCUUCGACACCCAGCGUGUCACACCCUUACCAGCUGCAAGUACUGAAAUCACUGUGUUCCUGGGAAACACUGAAACAAAAUUAGCAAAAAGUUCAAAAAGCUCAGAUCUAAAAAUAUAGCUGCAAUUCACAAUUCCCUUUAAUAGAACCUUAUUCCUGCACUUGGUGUAACUGAAGGUAUUUAUAGACAGGGUAAAAAGAUGGAAUGGAGAUUUGUAUUUAUGAAUAAUAAAGCAGCUGUGAAUGGGAAGAAGCAAGGUUGUGUAACACACCACCUUCUGCAGUGAUGUCCCAGCAAGGACGGGAGCUCCAGUUCUGGUUCAGGCCUGGCAGCUGUACACACAGCUCCUUGGGGCACCAUGUUGCUGUGAGCACAGUGGGGCAGCACGGUCAUGCAUGGUCCUUGGCCUCGGGGCAGAGAGCUGCACCGGUCUGAUUUCACUUGUGUUAAAAGUACUCUGACAAUGGAGACUUGGGUCUCUCUCGUUCUGUUAGGUCUGUGCUGGCAACUGGAUUAAUAUUAAAAUGACGAACACCGUACACACGCAACUCACAUUUCCUAGGUUACAAAUAACUGGAGCAAAGCAAAUAUACCAACAUUAAUAAUUCACCCUAAGAGUUUAGCUCGUUUUUCUUUUAUGGAACUUCUACAGGCAGAUUGCAAUUUCCUCAGAUUUAUUCAUUAUUCAGAUUCAGUCAACAAUUUAAAAGAAAUGUUUACCUACUAGAUAGCCUGUGGUUUGCUUCCCGUGUCACUAGUCAGUUUUGUAACUUGAACUGUUAGUCAUAAUAAUGUAAUUAAGUUAUCUGAUAUGAUUUCUGUCCCUUGGCUACGUCAAAAUUUCAUUCUUUGGGGAGACACUACCAUCCACGUCUGCAUAAAGAUCAAGUUUCUACAAACAUCAUUGUCUGUGUCCGAAUUCUUCCGCAUGCAUGCAAACUAAGAACUGAACUGAGCUGUUCAGAUGUGUGACAAACGAUCAUUAAAACGGGCAGAACAUCUUCGUUUCCUCACUUCUCUGUCACGUAAGAAAAUGAGUGUUCCUUAGCUGUGUUUAAUCUCUCCUGCUACGUGGUUCUUCCCCUUCUCCACUGGUUCUGCAUGUAGAAAGUUAACAAAUAAAAAGCUACUGGCAACAAUGAGAGACCUUUCACUCGCAUCUCGGCAGAAGCCUUUGAGUUUCUGAAGAUCCACAGCCACAAGCGAACACAGCACUGAGAUGGAGAAAUAAGCCUGGCCAGGAGCUUUCCUUCCUCCCCAGGCCGUCACAGGAAGCUGUCAGCUUGCAGAAGGACCUGGGAAAUGACGGUAGUGAUGACAGAAAAGGGAAGAGCUCUGUCAUUCUGUGCUCUGUAGUCAUUCGCCCCUCUGUGGCCACGCUCCUACUCUCAGCUGAGCCCUGCUCUCCAAACUGAGCAAAGCGCUUCUGCAGAGCUGAGUCACAGCAGAAGCCACAACGCUGUUCAGGAGGAGGUGAGAAACCGGGAUGUGUAGGCUACCUCCAGGGGGCAGGGGUUUCUUUCCCUAGAUCUAUUUUGUCUGCAAAGCUGCAGUGCUCUCUCUGCAUUUUUGGAGGAGGUAGAAUAGAUUUAGAAAGUGGCUGCUUAUCGAUUUAUGGUCUUUAUGCUGGACAUGGCUUUUUAUUAAAGAAAGCAGAUACUCAAUACUGUUAACUAGUAAUGGGAAUUGACUUUUCACUAAUUGCACAGGACCUGGCAUUAAUAUACUUUAAUAGAAAACGGGUCCAUGCGCUCCGGAUCAAUCCUGAAGUUUUUUCUGCCUGCACUACAGACAAAGGACUCCAGCAACAGCAACGUAGUUAAAUGAGACACUUCAUUUUUUGUUUAUCUACCAUCCAUCCAAUUACUGAGAUAAGCACACGUCUCCAAGGAAUGAGGGAAGACUGUAGCUUGGCUGCUCAUCCUGUCUGUGUGUCCUGCAGGGACCAUCCCUUCCCGCGUGGCUGUGAUGCAAUCCACCACCCAGCUCCCAGGGCUGCUCCUGCACCAGGCAGAUUGCCACUGGCUUUAAGGGCCCGAGAGCACGGCUUGGAGCAGCCUCACCCUGUAACCAUCCCUCAGGCUGCCCUCAGCUCUCCCGUUGGCCUCCUCUGUGGCCAGCAGGAUAACAGCAGGCCCCGUGGCGUUCCAGGCACCAGCAAUGACACUGGGACUGACAAAGGGCAAUGCUAAUUAAUGCUUCAUGCUAGUUAAUGGUGGAUACUUACGUCGUGUGAAAAUCAUUUUUAGCUCCCUGCAGUUGGCUCAGCUUGACUCCUGCUGCUGCCUGCCUCCCGUCAGGGAAACCCUGCCAUUAGCUGGACCCAGCAGCACCGUGUUUCUUUCCCACUGAAUCAACUCUGCAAAAGGAAAGCCAAAGUCUUGCAAACCUCUGUCUCCUCACAGCACCACAGUGGUUGGUCCUGAUGGUGACAUCUGGUUGUAGGGGGCCACCUGUAUUUGUCCUCUCAUGAAGUGCAGCUUCAUGUACGUGCAGCCAUCUACUAGCAGUGCCAAAUGGUUGCUUCUGGAUACCUGUGGGUGUGCAGAGCAAGCUGCCCCACAGAAAUAUUUUAUUCAGUAAGACAGGACUCGAAGAUGAAAGGGUAACCGCUUCUGAUCAUAACCUUGGCUUUGUCUUUUCAGCAAUUAUACUUUAAUUGCAUUGCCCUAUUUGAAAUAGAAUUGUAAUUGGAAAAAAAAAAAAAUGACAUUCUCUGAUGCAUACUCUUGACACACAUUAUUUGUUUUUUAUUCAAACAUAAAUGUUUUCUGUAACACUAUAAAAAAAAGAAAAAAAAUAAGCAAAAUUGAAAUGUCAGUAGCAAUUUCUGACAUGUGAAAAGCACCAUCAGCAACUCGUGCUGGUUGCUGGGCAAGGGGUUUCAAUCCAACUCAACAGAAAUCCAGCUGUGAAAUGAGCAGAGUUGGAGAGGAGGAAGAAUGUGAGAGGGAAAGGACCUCAGCCCCAGCCCUUCAGGAGAGCUGGCCGUUGCACAUGGCAGUAUCAGAAUAUCAUACCUGCAACCAGCUGUGACUGUGUGAUAAGUGGGCCUUUCAGAUCACAUGGAAACAGAAGAUGCAGAAAGAUAAUUUCAAACCUUACUACUCACCACUGAAUAAUUGCUAGGGUCAAUAUAAGUCAAUGAAACACAGGUUCCCUUCAGUUGUACUCUAUAGAGCGCAGCCAUAGAGAAGUGUCUUUGCAUCUUCUUCCUUAACUCUCAGGAGGAUCCAAGAGAAUCUACUCUGGUGGCAGCUUAUACCUUGUAAUUUGCAUUUGGAGUUUCUGAGAGCUGAGCUCCAGCCAGUCUGGUGGUCACACUGCGUGCAAGGAGAGCUGGGGCUCAGUGCAUCACUCCAUGCUGGGGGAGGUACCUGGCAGCACCCAGCAUGCUGCAGUUCACACACACAUGGAGUAGGAGAAGCUGCUGAUGUCCUCCGCAGCGGUUCUUAUGAUGGAUUUCCUUUGUCAGCAGCUCUGCAUUCUCAUUUGCUCCAAAACAGAUCCGGUCCAGUGUUAGUUCAGAGAGUCAGCAGUUCACAGGCAAGAAAUUAACACAGGGGAGCCAUAAACCAGAGGUAGCUGGCACAGACGAGGCUGGAUAAAUUGUGCCUCUUUUAUUGGUUUAUUUUUUUAUAAAAGCAAAACCAGAACUGAAGCACAACAGUCAGAACAAAACCUCCCUUUCAGAAAAAUGGAUUUUUGGAGUUGCCUGCAGACAUAACCUACUUUUGUUAGUGCUGGUUAAUUCCUCUGUGCUUUGUACCCAGCUAGUUUGUUAUGACCAGAACAACUUGCUAUUGCCAGAGAAAUACACAGACAUGCAGGCUGACAGAACAGCGUAGUGAGAGCUGGGGGUCCCUUGGUGAAGGUCUGAGCACCUGUACAAUUUAGGAACCUGACUUGAGGUGUAGUACAUUUAAUAACUCUAACCUUCUCUUCUGUUGAGACAGCUCUCUGAAAGUGAGGUGGCACAAAGGUAAUAACUAAAAACUAAACAGAAAUAUAAUCACUGAUUAAUAAGGUAAGUGUUAAAAAGAGCUGGGUGUCAGGAGGAGGGUUAAAGCAGCAUUGAAGACAGCUGAUAGGAUGCAGCCCAGGUGAUGGGAAACUCCCAGGGGAGCACCUGCCAGAGCAAUUAGAUGCUAUAAAAGAGAAAGAAAGGAGCAACUUGGAGCUUUGCUUGUGCUGAGGUUAUUUUGCGGGGAGAAAUUCAUUCUCUUGAAUGCAUCUGGACUCUUAGGCCCUCAGAAAUAAUAUUCUAGAGCAAAAAGCACUUAAUUUAGAAAAUCUGUUGUUCUACUGAGAAUCUGUAGAACUUGAUUUUCUCUC